GUGGGGAAUAUUGGACAAUGGGCGCAAGCCUGAUCCAGCCAUACCGCGUGGGUGAAGAAGGCCUUCGGGUUGUAAAGCCCUUUUGUUGGGAAAGAAAUCCUGUCGGUUAAUACCUGGCGGGGAUGACGGUACCCAAAGAAUAAGCACCGGCUAACUUCGUGCCAGCAGCCGCGGUAAUACGAAGGGUGCAAGCGUUACUCGGAAUUACUGGGCGUAAAGCGUGCGUAGGUGGUGGUUUAAGUCCGUUGUGAAAGCCCUGGGCUCAACCUGGGAAUUGCAGUGGAUACUGGAUCACUAGAGUGUGGUAGAGGGAUGCGGAAUUUCUGGUGUAGCAGUGAAAUGCGUAGAGAUCAGAAGGAACAUCCGUGGCGAAGGCGGCAUCCUGGGCCAACACUGACACUGAGGCACGAAAGCGUGGGGAGCAAACAGGAUUAGAUACCCUUGUAGUCC
RNAcentral lists this ribosomal RNA (450 nucleotides) under uncultured bacterium. RNAcentral describes it as "bacterial SSU rRNA". It matches the Rfam family "Bacterial small subunit ribosomal RNA", at positions 354 to 796 of the family's 1533-position model. The record is from RNAcentral.